This 429-nucleotide ribosomal RNA is filed under the name Gemmatimonadota bacterium. Its description in RNAcentral is "Gemmatimonadetes bacterium partial 16S ribosomal RNA". It matches the Rfam family "Bacterial small subunit ribosomal RNA", at positions 355 to 776 of the family's 1533-position model. The record is from RNAcentral. Lineage: Bacteria; Pseudomonadati; Gemmatimonadota.
UAGGGAAUCUUCGGCAAUGGACGAAAGUCUGACCGAGCAACGCCGCGUGAGUGAAGAAGGUUUUCGGAUCGUAAAACUCUGUUGUUAGAGAAGAACAAGGACGUUAGUAACUGAACGUCCCCUGACGGUAUCUAACCAGAAAGCCACGGCUAACUACGUGCCAGCAGCCGCGGUAAUACGUAGGUGGCAAGCGUUGUCCGGAUUUAUUGGGCGUAAAGCGAGCGCAGGCGGUUUCUUAAGUCUGAUGUGAAAGCCCCCGGCUCAACCGGGGAGGGUCAUUGGAAACUGGGAGACUUGAGUGCAGAAGAGGAGAGUGGAAUUCCAUGUGUAGCGGUGAAAUGCGUAGAUAUAUGGAGGAACACCAGUGGCGAAGGCGGCUCUCUGGUCUGUAACUGACGCUGAGGCUCGAAGGCGUGGUGAGCAAACAGG